Molecule: ribosomal RNA, 485 nt
Filed under: Diplocentrus motagua
Lineage: Eukaryota; Metazoa; Arthropoda; Arachnida; Scorpiones; Diplocentridae
Description: partial 16S ribosomal RNA
Rfam family: Archaeal large subunit ribosomal RNA
Source: RNAcentral
GGUUUUUAGAAAUUAUUAAAAAUCAAGCCUGCUCAAUGCUUAGUAAAUAGCCGCGGUAUCCUGACCGUGCAAAGGUAGCAUAAUAAUUAGCCUUAUAAUUGAAGGCUAGAAUGAAUGGUUUAACUAAAUUUCAUUGUCUCAUAAUAAUAUCUUUAAUUUUAUAUUUUAGUAAAAAAGCUAAAAUGUAUUUUAGGGACGAGAAGACCCUAUCGAGCUUUACAAAAAAAAUAACUCUUUCACAAAGUUAUUUUUUUUUGUUAUACUGGGGCAGUAAAAAAUAAAAAUAUUUAUUUAAAUAUUGUAAAUUAUAAUUUUUGUCAAACCAAAAAAUUUUUAAAAAAAAAUAAGUUACCGUAGGGAUAACAGCGUAAUUUUUCUUAAGAGAACAUAUUAGCAGAAAAGUUUGCGACCUCGAUGUUGGAUUAAGAAUCCUAUUUUAUGCAACAGUAAAAAAAGGAAGUCUGUUCGACUUUUAAACUCUUCCA